CCCUCCAGAUCUGAUUGGAUCAGGAAAAUAAAACACCUAACUCAAAUAAGCAUCAACCAUAGUUUGGCCACGGAUCUGGAAAUGAAGAGAAAAGUGCAAUUUCCAGAAAUUCCGAGAUCCAGUCUUAUAGCCAUGCUUGGAGCCCAGAGAUUGGCGCUUAGAUAUUCAAGUAUUUGUUGAAGGAAUGAAUGAGUGAAUGAAUGAACAGAGGCUUCGUGACUUCAAGAGACCUCAGUGUAGGAGACUUUCACUCUAUGUCUUUCUUUCACCCAAUUAUUCUACAGAUACCUGUC
This is a long non-coding RNA of Leopardus geoffroyi (Geoffroy's cat), 293 nucleotides long. RefSeq lists it as uncharacterized. Lineage: Eukaryota; Metazoa; Chordata; Mammalia; Carnivora; Felidae. The record is from RefSeq and is a predicted model, not a curated record. The transcript has 2 exons.